Xylariaceae sp. FL0255 is the source of this 126-nucleotide non-coding RNA. Lineage: Eukaryota; Fungi; Ascomycota; Sordariomycetes; Xylariales; Xylariaceae. The record is from the annotation of a GenBank genome assembly.
GGCAAGAUGGCCGAGUGGUUAAGGCGGUAGGUUCAAGAAAUCGCCCCCUGGGCCUUCUCUUAGCCUUCAAAGAAGGUUAGUAUUCUACUGGAGAAAUCCGCGUGGGUUCGAAUCCCACUCUUGUCA